This 505-nucleotide ribosomal RNA is filed under the name uncultured bacterium. RNAcentral's name for it is "partial 16S ribosomal RNA". It matches the Rfam family "Bacterial small subunit ribosomal RNA", at positions 28 to 507 of the family's 1533-position model. The record is from RNAcentral.
GACGAACGCUGGCGGCGUGCCUAAUACAUGCAAGUAGAACGCACAGUUUAUACCGUAGCUUGCUACACCAUAGACUGUGAGUUGCGAACGGGUGAGUAACGCGUAGGUAACCUGCCUGGUAGCGGGGGAUAACUAUUGGAAACGAUAGCUAAUACCGCAUAAUAUUGAUUAUUGCAUGAUAAUUAAUUGAAAGGUGCAAUUGCAUCACUACCAGAUGGACCUGCGUUGUAUUAGCUAGUAGGUGAGGUAACGGCUCACCUAGGCGACGAUACAUAGCCGACCUGAGAGGGUGAUCGGCCACACUGGGACUGAGACACGGCCCAGACUCCUACGGGAGGCAGCAGUAGGGAAUCUUCGGCAAUGGACGAAAGUCUGACCGAGCAACGCCGCGUGAGUGAAGAAGGUUUUCGGAUCGUAAAGCUCUGUUGUAAGAGAAGAACGGGUGUGAGAGUGGAAAGUUCACACUGUGACGGUAGCUUACCAGAAAGGGACGGCUAACUACGUG